RNAcentral lists this long non-coding RNA (1840 nucleotides) under Podarcis lilfordi (Lilford's wall lizard). The record is from RNAcentral. Lineage: Eukaryota; Metazoa; Chordata; Lepidosauria; Squamata; Lacertidae.
GUCAGUUUCAAUAGUAGUGUCAAAGUUCACUAUAUACAGACAUUCGCGCAGAUCCCCCUUUCGGAAACAUUGCUCUGCUAGUCUUCCCGUUUAAACGCAUUCAUUUUUUGGUUCUCUCUCUCUCUCUCCCUCUCUCUCUCUCCCUCUCUCUCUCUCUCUCUCUCCUUUCUUGCAUAUUCUAUUAGUUGAAGGCUGGUUUUUUUUUCUCUUUAUCUCCUUCUCUCUCCACUCCUUUUCUCCUUUUCCUGGUGCCUCUCGCUUCCUUCCUUCAUGAGACCAGAGAGAGGGAAAACUUAAAAGAAAGGGGAAAGACCGCAAAAGAAAAAGAGCAAAAAGAAAGAAAGAAAGAAAAAGAAAGAGAGAGGGGCGCCUUUUGAACAUCUUCAUAUCUUCAAUUUUUAAACACUUUUUUAUUGUUAUUUUGGGGGAGGGUUUUGUUCUUGGCUGCGGAGGUUUGUUUUCUUUUUCUUUUUCUCCUCCGAAAUUUACUUUGAAAAGAAAAGAAAAAAAGAAGAAGAAAAAUAAGAAGGUGUGUUUUUUUUCCUCCUUUCCUUCCCCUUCCUCUUGGGCGAUCUCCAGUGAUUAUUGUCAGCAGCACGGAAGAAGAAAGAAGGCGAGGAGAGAAGGAGCUGCCGCGCGAGCGAGCGAGGAAGGCGCCAGGAGGAGAGCAAGCCGGAGAAGCAGGAGAAGGGGCUUUUAUUUAUUCGACCUACUUUGGAUCUCUCGCUCGCCUUUCGGCUUUUCCCCUCCCCUCGGCGCGCGGCUGACAUUCGCUCCGCUUCUGCUCUCUCCAUGAUCGCCUUUCGCUCCGCCACUUGGCUGGGGAUCCUCGGUCUGCUGCGCCUGGGCGAAGUCGAGGGCGCUGCUGGGGUUUCUCCUUUGUAUCUUCCCCAGCGAAAUUGACGAGGGAGAGAGGCAGAGAGAAAGAGAGAAAGCGGCGCGCACGGAGAAAGACAGACACAGCUAAAGAGAGAGGGAGCCGGGCGGCAAAGCAGCGGCGGCGGCCGGAGCCCAGAACAACGGCGGCGUCGGCGGCGAGAGACCCCCAAAGUGUCUCGUCCAGUCUCCUCUCGCGUCCUCCUCGGCGUCGUCGCCCUCGGGCUGGUCGGCGGAGCUUCCCGAAGCGCCUUUCCUGCAUGGCUGACGCGCUGCCUCGGACUUGGCCCCCGGACACCCGCGCGCCCUGAGCGGCAGCCGCGCCUCGGCUCCCCGUGCGCCUUUGCCGGCCUCCCUGCGCGCCGACGGGCGCGAUCCAGCGGCGGCUCUCCCGGCCGGGCCCCAGCGGCUUCGGCAGCGAGCAGUGGCGGCGACGGAGGCGGCCGCAGCCCCGGCAGAGAGACCAGCUUCUUCACCAGCAGCAGCGGCGGCGGCAGCAGCAGCUUCGGCGGCGGCAGCAGCAGCAGCAGCAUCGCGCGGCUCCGGGCUCCUUCCUUGCUGCUGCUGCCUCUUUCGAGUCGACCGGCCGGGCGGGCGCGCCGCUAGCCCGCCGCGGACGGUGCGGGGCUGGCUGGCCAGGCAGGGUGUCCGGCGAGCCGGUCGCCUCCUCUUCCUCCCUUUCCUCCUCCUUCUCCUCCUCCUCCUGCUUCUUCCCCCCGUCGCCCUCUCUUCCCUCUCCUCCCCAGGGUCACCCUCCUGAAUGCCUCUCGCGACAGCCCGCUUCGCCCUGGCUGCUUUUGCAACUUGAAAAGGGACACGUUUCUGGGGGGGAGGGAGGGAAGGGACUGAGAGAAGAAGCAGGAGGAGGAGGAGGAAGAGAAGAAGAAGAGCGGGGGACACCAUCCUGCUAGUCCGGGGGGUGGGGGUUAAACCCUUUGGAAUUCCAUUGUCUCCCCCCCUUGCC